CCUACGGGUGUCAGCAGUGAGGAAUAUUGGUCAAUGGGCGCGAGCCUGAACCAGCCAAGUAGCGUUAAGGAUGACUGCUCUACUGGUUGUAAACUUCUUUUAUAAAGGAAUAAAGUGAGGCACGUGUUCCUUUUUGUAUGUACUUUCUGAAUAAGGAUCGGCUAACUCCGUGCCAGCAGCCGCGGUAAUACGGAGGAUGCGAGCGUUAUGCGGAUUUAUUGGGUUUAAAGGGAGCGUAGAGGGUUUGUUAAGUCAGUGGUGAAAGUUUGCGGCUCAACCGUAAAAUUGCAAUUGAUACUGGCAGUCUUGAGUACAGUUGAGGUAGGCGGAAUUCGUGGUGUAGCGGUGAAAUGCUUAGAUAUCACGAAGAACUCCGAUUGCGAAGGCAGCUUACUAAACUGCAACUGACAUUGAUGCACGAAAGCGUGGGGAUCAAACAGGAUUAGAUACCCGAGUAGUC
This 460-nucleotide ribosomal RNA is filed under the name uncultured bacterium. RNAcentral's name for it is "partial 16S ribosomal RNA". It matches the Rfam family "Bacterial small subunit ribosomal RNA", at positions 338 to 795 of the family's 1533-position model. The record is from RNAcentral.